UACGUAGGGUGCAAGCGUUGUCCGGAAUUAUUGGGCGUAAAGAGCUCGUAGGCGGUCUGUCGCGUCGGCUGUGAAAACUCGGGGCUCAACCCCGAGCCUGCAGUCGAUACGGGCAGACUAGAGUGCUGUAGGGGGAGACUGGAAUUCCUGGUGUAGCGGUGAAAUGCGCAGAUAUCAGGAGGAACACCGGUGGCGAAGGCGGGUCUCUGGGCAGUAACUGACGCUGAGGAGCGAAAGCGUGGGGAGCAAACAGG
RNAcentral lists this ribosomal RNA (254 nucleotides) under uncultured bacterium. Its description in RNAcentral is "partial 16S ribosomal RNA". It matches the Rfam family "Bacterial small subunit ribosomal RNA", at positions 524 to 776 of the family's 1533-position model. The record is from RNAcentral.